RNAcentral lists this long non-coding RNA (1365 nucleotides) under Olea europaea subsp. europaea. The record is from RNAcentral. Lineage: Eukaryota; Viridiplantae; Streptophyta; Magnoliopsida; Lamiales; Oleaceae.
UGUGAUUUCUUCUCCUAAGCAUCUUUCAUAUCUUUUUCUUUCAGGUUACAUUAAUAUUCUGAAGAUGAAUAUUAACUUCAAUGCUAAACAUCAAAAGGUUGCUCCCACUCACUUUAAAGAGACGUUUACAGAGGAUUCCCAAAGGAAUAAAAGUUCAACUUUGUGUGAGGCCAAAGGUAUAGUUAAGCAACCCCAUUAUCUCAAAAGGUUGGAGGUUCAUAGGUACUAAGGUCCCAAUCUCCAAUUCUCAAAAUGGACCCCGCGAAGGGAAAGAAAAAGGCACCCGAGGAAUCUGAUCAUGUUCCUAAUUCCAUGGCUUUGUUUGACGUCUGCCAUGACGAGGAGCUAGAUCCCAACAUUUUGUCCUCACUUACUGCCUUUGUUUCUAAAGCAACUAGAUCUACAUUUUUAUAAUUUAACUCCGAACGAGACUCUCCCAAGCAAAGAUGAAGCCUAAUUGAUGCUCACCUCUUACUAGCUAGCCAAUGUCCUUCAUCAUGAUUAGCAAGCGAAAUAUGAGGUUUACUUGCUGUGAACCAAUAAGAUAGAGAAAAGGGCAGACUUCCUAGAGAAGAAGCAUGUGGCCUUUCAACGAAAAUUGAGAGGAGUUGAAAAUGACAUGAAAAAAAUAUAAGGAGCUGAGCAAAGAUUCCGAGGCACUGGCUGCCACGGAAGCCCUCUUAGUGGCUGAUCUUACCAGGCUCACUAAGGAUUUGGAAUGGAUCAAGAAAAUCUUUCUACUUAUGUUGUUAGAUUCGGUGGUGAGCUUCUUCGUCUCAGAAAGAGCUUCAGUUUGUUAGGAAUAAGCAGUUUGCUUUUUCUAAAGACUUGGAAAUGAAGAGCAAGAAGGGCUUGCUUCUUAACCAGCUGGAGAAUGCUGAUAAAAAGCUGUCUCUUGCGGAGUCUGAUCUCUUGCUAAUGAGUUGAGGCUUGUAGAUGAGUCCAUGGAGGAUGGAGGCUAUAAGGUUCUUGAUAUUAUUAGGGAUUUUCAUCUUUGAGUGGGACCUGAGUUUUUUAGAGGAUCAUGAAGAGGGUGCCAAAUAUACCUCUGUGGGCGAAGAUGCUUUGACGGCCGUCCAAACUUCCAGUUAUCCGUCUGCUUCUAUUGAACGUGCCUCUAUUCCUCCUAGCGAAGGUACUGCUAUGCCAAUAUGAUCUCGCCUUUUGAUACUAUUAAAGUUCAUACUCCCUCUAAAGCGAGUGUGCCUUUUGAUGGUAACACUUCGCUUGGCCAAGAUGAUCUCGCCUUUGGGAAUUUCCAACCUUUUAUGAAUUUAAAGGGAUGGCUAAUUUUUUAUGCUCUUGUUUCUCACUUUUAUUGUAUUGACGAUAUUCCAUUCUAAUUUAUAGGAAAAUACCAUUUUA